ACCAGCCUCAGGUCAGUAUCCGAACUAGCUGCGGCAGCCAUCUUGAAUUUGGAUGACUGAUGUUUAUCAAGCUACAGUUCUGUUGAGAAAAUAUUUAGCUCUGUUUAGCUUUUAGCUACUGUUCUGCUUCUUUUAGGAACUGGGUUUCAGCUCCUUUAGUUCUUAAAUUUCUGCAGCUGAAACAGUGUUUUGUUGUGUGUCAUGUUUCCAGCAGGUCUGAUGAAGCUUCAGUCAGCAGCUGAAAACAAAGCCUGAGCUGAGAAUAAAGCCUGACAGCUGCUCUGAAACAUGAAGCCCUGUUAAAGAUCGACACAUGGAGGAGGAAAAGCUUCAGCACCAUGUUUGUUCUUCAGGCUUCAGCAGCUUCAUGUGACCUUUUUUCUGUAGAAAAACAGGAAGUGAUGUUUCAGAGCCCGCAGGCCUCUUCUAUCAGAACUUCCUCAUUCCUCCUCUUCCUCCUCAAACAUUUGUUUUCAGGCGGAGUGAGAAAAACUGCUGCUCUGAAACACACCUGGUGACAUGUGGGACAGAAGAUGGAUCACCUGCUGAAGAGAAUCCAGAAUCAAACUUUAACAGGAUAUAAACUCCACCAGGUGUGAGUCCAGAUCCAGUUCUGGCUGUGGAUCCGCUCCGGGUUUUCAGUCGACCCUUCAGCAGGCCGCCAUUUCAGGAUCUGCAGAGGCCUUCUCCUCCUCCUCCUUCUCCUCCUCCUCCUCCUCCUCCUCCUCUGCUGCUGCUCCAUCAUGGCAGAACAAAGCAGCUCUGUCUUUGUCUGCAGCUCCUCGUUCACACGCAGCGUUCACAAGAACCGGCUUCACUCCUGAUCUGCAGAAACACUCUGAGAGGAGAAAGAAAGGUCACCGAGUCGCAGAAACUCUGACCUCAAAUCAAAGAUGAAAGGACAAAUUAACCUAACUAAGCUCAGAUUAAAACGGUUCUUUCUUUUCUUUGACCUUUAGGUGGAAAUUAAAGCAGUCAAUCAAAACUAAAGUCAAACAAAAUGUGUUUUUCUUUAUUUUAAUAAACUAAAAGCCUUCCUGUCUGUCAGGAAGUUCAUCUGAA
Austrofundulus limnaeus is the source of this 1062-nucleotide long non-coding RNA. RefSeq lists it as uncharacterized. Lineage: Eukaryota; Metazoa; Chordata; Actinopteri; Cyprinodontiformes; Rivulidae. The transcript has 2 exons. The record is from RefSeq and is a predicted model, not a curated record.